UACAGAGGUCUCGAGCGUUAGGCGGAAUCACUGGGCUUAAAGCGCGUGUAGGCGGGUCGUUAAGGGUCCGCGUGAAAUCCCACGGCUCAACCGUGGAACUGCCGGGCAUACUGGCGAUCUUGAGGCAUUCAGGGGCGAGCGGAACAAAUGGUGGAGCGGUGAAAUGCGUAGAUAUCAUUUGGAACGCCAAUGGUGAAAACAGCUCGCUGGGAAUGAUCUGACGCUGAGACGCGAAAGCCAGGGGAGCGAACGGG
RNAcentral lists this ribosomal RNA (254 nucleotides) under uncultured bacterium. Its description in RNAcentral is "partial 16S ribosomal RNA". It matches the Rfam family "Bacterial small subunit ribosomal RNA", at positions 524 to 776 of the family's 1533-position model. The record is from RNAcentral.